This 966-nucleotide long non-coding RNA is filed under the name Marmota marmota marmota (Alpine marmot). RNAcentral describes it as "lncRNA (ENSMMMG00000003479.1)". Lineage: Eukaryota; Metazoa; Chordata; Mammalia; Rodentia; Sciuridae. The record is from RNAcentral.
GCUAAUGUGGACAGACACCCUGGGAAAUCUGCACACAGCACGUAUGCUAUCGAGUCCUCCAGAAGCGUGGUUCAUGGACAGGACAUACCGUCCUCGCCUGCUUCCUGCUCCGGCACAGGAGAAGGGGCAGGUGUUGUGUCUAGUUGCACGAAUAGCUGCCCUGCUGCCCUCUGAUUGUGGAUGGAAAGUAGAGUGCAGAGGUGUUGGCUUGGAGUCCAGGAGAUGAGAAGUGAGAGUGACUUGUCCCCAAGCAAGGACUUCAAGGUCUUUGGAAACAGCACAGCAAAGACCAGCACCACUCCAAACGGAGUCCAGUAUUUGGGCUGGCUCCCCAGGUGAGAGCCCUUAGGAGCUGGAGGACUUCUUGCCCCAGGAAGACGAGAUGGAAGGUGGCACACUGCUGGAAAAACCCUGUGUCACCGGCCAGGACGGAGACCCCUUGCUCACCAGUCAGCCAUGGCCUCCAGUGCCACCUGUUCUCUGCUGAAGACGGAUCCUUUCCCAGAGAGGACAGCUGGGGACCUUCAUGUCCACUGCAUGCCAAGCUCUGCUGCUGGUUUGAUGACCCCAGAACCUGCCCUUGGGCUUCUCUGACAUGUCUGAGGACCUCUAAGAUCCACCAAUCCAGGAAUGACUCACUCAUGGCACUGGGUUUGGGGACAUGUCCCUGUGAAUACACGGAGCAGCUGAGCCCUGAUGUCCUUCCUCUCACUGCCCUGGGGAAGGCUGGCUUCUCAUCACUGGAUGGACAGAGCCAUGGUGCAGCCCUGAGGGGACACCACCCACCGGGUCCUUCUCAGCAUUUUCUGCUCCAACCCAGACCCACUUCCUGCCCUGGGUAUCACUUUCACCUCUGGACACUGACUGACUGACGCCCAGGAAGGCCAGGCUCCUGGCUAGGGCCCUGAGGUGAUAAACAGGGGCAAGAAUAGAUUUAAAAUAAAAUGGACCUGCAGCCAGUGGCCA